UUUCCGUAGGUGAACCUGCGGAAGGAUCAUUAUCGAGGGGCUUCGGCCCCGAGAAGAUAGCACCCUUGUCCUUUUCGAGCACCGCACGUAUCCCCCGGCGGGUCCGCCCGCCGUUGGGGACAGAAACAAACCCUUUGUAGUAUCAGCAGUACCUGUCUGAGAAGAAGCCUUCGGGCAAAAAAAUCACAACUUUCAACAACGGAUCUCUUGGUUCUGGCAUCGAUGAAGAACGCAGC
Molecule: unclassified non-coding RNA, 236 nt
Filed under: uncultured fungus
Lineage: Eukaryota; Fungi
Description: sequence contains ITS1, 5.8S rRNA gene
Rfam family: 5.8S ribosomal RNA (bases 188-236)
Source: RNAcentral